AGGGCUGUAGCUCAGUUGGUAGAGCACCUCGUUUACACGAGAAGGUCUACGGUUCGAGUCCGUAUAGCCCUA
RNAcentral lists this transfer RNA (72 nucleotides) under Aster spathulifolius. Its description in RNAcentral is "tRNA-Val". It matches the Rfam family "tRNA". From Rfam's summary of the family: Transfer RNA (tRNA) molecules are approximately 80 nucleotides in length. Their secondary structure includes four short double-helical elements and three loops (D, anti-codon, and T loops). Further hydrogen bonds mediate the characteristic L-shaped molecular structure. tRNAs have two regions of fundamental functional importance: the anti-codon, which is responsible for specific mRNA codon recognition, and the 3' end, to which the tRNAs corresponding amino acid is attached (by aminoacyl-tRNA synthetases). tRNAs cope with the degeneracy of the genetic code in two manners: having more than one tRNA (with a specific anti-codon) for a particular amino acid; and 'wobble' base-pairing, i.e. permitting non-standard base-pairing at the 3rd anti-codon position. Lineage: Eukaryota; Viridiplantae; Streptophyta; Magnoliopsida; Asterales; Asteraceae. The record is from RNAcentral. RNAcentral also lists the same sequence under 1 other name.